This 301-nucleotide ribosomal RNA is filed under the name uncultured bacterium. RNAcentral describes it as "partial 16S ribosomal RNA". It matches the Rfam family "Bacterial small subunit ribosomal RNA", at positions 509 to 807 of the family's 1533-position model. The record is from RNAcentral.
CAGUAGCCGCGGGAAUACGUAGGUGGCAAGCGUUGUCCGGAAUUAUUGGGCGUAAAGGGCUCGCAGGCGGUUUCUUAAGUCUGAUGUGAAAGCCCCCGGCUCAACCGGGGAGGGUCAUUGGAAACUGGGAAACUUGAGUGCAGAAGAGGAGAGUGGAAUUCCACGUGUAGCGGUGAAAUGCGUAGAGAUGUGGAGGAACACCAGUGGCGAAGGCGACUCUCUGGUCUGUAACUGACGCUGAGGAGCGAAAGCGUGGGGAGCGGACAGGAUUAGAUACCCCAGUAGUCCCUGUCUCUUAUAC